This 255-nucleotide long non-coding RNA is filed under the name Mytilus galloprovincialis (Mediterranean mussel). The record is from RNAcentral. Lineage: Eukaryota; Metazoa; Mollusca; Bivalvia; Mytilida; Mytilidae.
AAAUUAUCAAUUUGAUAUCACCAUAUUAUUAAUUUUUAUUCAAAUACAUUAAAUAUGAACAUAAAAAAAUAUUUUACUGAUAAUGUGACCAAGUAUUUAUCAGCUUAUCAGAAUUGCGUUUGGCGCAGUCAAUCUACUCAAAUGUUAAAAAUCUCACAAUCUCAAUUAGAACAAAAACAAACAAAUAUUCAAAAAGAAUCCUAAAAAAGCAUCUUAUCAAAUUCAUUCAUUGCUUACUCAUAUAUGUAUUUUUAA